This 206-nucleotide ribosomal RNA is filed under the name uncultured bacterium. RNAcentral's name for it is "partial 16S ribosomal RNA". It matches the Rfam family "Bacterial small subunit ribosomal RNA", at positions 568 to 774 of the family's 1533-position model. The record is from RNAcentral.
CACGUAGGCGGACAUUUAAGUCAGGGGUGAAAUCCCAGAGCUCAACUCUGGAACUGCCUUUGAUACUGGGUGUCUAGAGUAUGGAAGAGGUGAGUGGAAUUCCGAGUGUAGAGGUGAAAUUCGUAGAUAUUCGGAGGAACACCAGUGGCGAAGGCGGCUCACUGGUCCAUUACUGACGCUGAGGUGCGAAAGCGUGGGAGCAAACA